CUACAGCCCAGCCGCUUCACUUGCCAGUGUAUCCUCCUUUACGCCUGAAGGCAACAUGGCAGCAACAGCCUAUGAGCGCUACCAAAAGGAUCCUGAUGGAGGAUGGAUUUGGGGCAAUAGCAUCAGCAUGAACAAUGAAACCAAUGAUGCUCUCAGGGCCGUCGUACACGCCCGCAAGCGUACGGCAUUCGCCUACAGCAUGGAGGACCUGCCUGGCUAUCACGGUGAUUUGGGGCCCUUUAGGCUGGAUCUGGACACCGACAAACCGAUUGUCCAGCCUCCUCGACGCUAUAGCCCCAAGGAGCGCGAGGUAAUCGCCGAAAAGACAGCCGAGCUUG
This 338-nucleotide long non-coding RNA is filed under the name Volvox carteri. Its description in RNAcentral is "long non-coding RNA (VCAR_LNC004108)". Lineage: Eukaryota; Viridiplantae; Chlorophyta; Chlorophyceae; Chlamydomonadales; Volvocaceae. The record is from RNAcentral.